Molecule: transfer RNA, 77 nt
Filed under: Bacillota bacterium
Lineage: Bacteria; Bacillati; Bacillota
Description: Firmicutes bacterium (hot springs metagenome) tRNA-Arg
Rfam family: tRNA
About the family: Transfer RNA (tRNA) molecules are approximately 80 nucleotides in length. Their secondary structure includes four short double-helical elements and three loops (D, anti-codon, and T loops).
Source: RNAcentral
GCGCCCGUAGCUCAACUGGAUAGAGCGGCAGACUACGAAUCUGCGGGCUGAAGGUUCGAAUCCUUUCGGGCGCGCCA